This 470-nucleotide ribosomal RNA is filed under the name uncultured bacterium. Its description in RNAcentral is "bacterial SSU rRNA". It matches the Rfam family "Bacterial small subunit ribosomal RNA", at positions 335 to 798 of the family's 1533-position model. The record is from RNAcentral.
ACUCCUACGGGAGGCAGCAGUGAGGAAUAUUGGUCAAUGGGCGAAAGCCUGAACCAGCCAUGUCGCGUGCAGGACGACUGCCCUAUGGGGUUGUAAACUGCUUUUAUAUGGGAAGAAAUGCGAGUACGUGUACUUGUUUGCCGGUACCAUAUGAAUAAGCAUCGGCUAACUCCGUGCCAGCAGCCGCGGUAAUACGGAGGAUGCGAGCGUUAUCCGGAUUCAUUGGGUUUAAAGGGUGCGUAGGCGGAAGUGUAAGUCAGGGGUGAAAGUUUGCAGCUCAACUGUAAAAUUGCCUUUGAUACUGCAUUUCUUGAGUACAUUUGAGGUAGGCGGAAUGUGUUGUGUAGCGGUGAAAUGCUUAGAUAUAACACAGAACACCGAUUGCGAAGGCAGCUUACUAAACUGUAACUGACGCUGAUGCACGAAAGCGUGGGGAUCGAACAGGAUUAGAUACCCCUGGUAGCGACUGA